GACGAACGCUGGCGGUAUGCCUAACACAUGCAAGUCGAACGAGAUCAUAUUUUUGUUUACAAGAAUAUGAUUGCAGUGGCGGACGGGUGAGGAACACGUAAGAACUUACCUUUUGGCGGGGGAUAACAACGGGAAACUGUUGCUAAUACCCCAUAAUGCUGAGGAGCAAAAGGGAAACUACCAAAAGAGAUGCUUGCGUCUGAUUAGCUAGUUGGAGGAGGUAAAUGCUCCCCAAGGCGACGAUCAGUAGCUGGUCUGAGAGGAUGAUCAGCCACACUGGGACUGAGAUACGGCCCAGACUCCUACGGGAGGCAGCAGUGGGGAAUUUUCCACAAUGGGCGAAAGCCUGAUGGAGCAAUACCGCGUGAGGGAUGAAGUAUCGUGGUACGUAACCUCUUUUCUUGACGAAGAAGCUCUGACGGUAGUG
Molecule: ribosomal RNA, 427 nt
Filed under: uncultured alga
Lineage: Eukaryota
Description: bacterial SSU rRNA
Rfam family: Bacterial small subunit ribosomal RNA
Source: RNAcentral